This 45-nucleotide non-coding RNA is filed under the name Paramuricea clavata. It matches the Rfam family "Histone 3' UTR stem-loop". Rfam says of the family: The mRNAs of metazoan histone genes lack a poly-A tail. 3' end processing occurs at a site between a highly conserved stem-loop (modelled by this family) and a purine rich region around 20 nts downstream (the histone downstream element, or HDE). Lineage: Eukaryota; Metazoa; Cnidaria; Anthozoa; Malacalcyonacea; Plexauridae. The record is from RNAcentral.
AUAACGGCUCUUUUAAGAGCCAACAAAUUCUUCAAAAGAAUCAAA